Molecule: ribosomal RNA, 2836 nt
Filed under: Triticum aestivum (bread wheat)
Lineage: Eukaryota; Viridiplantae; Streptophyta; Magnoliopsida; Poales; Poaceae
Description: partial small subunit ribosomal RNA
Source: RNAcentral
CUUCUCUCCCACCUCUCAGUGAUCACCAGUACUACUGCCAUUCCCCAUUCUCCAAUCCACCUCAACCGCCCAGCUUCCAUGGCUCGGAGCAACCCGGGGCUUCUCCUAGGGCUGCUUCUGCUGCGGCUCAAUUGGUGCUUGGGCGUGGAUGGCGGAGGCGCGGAGGAAGGGGGCGGCGUGUUUCCGGUGGUGGUGAGCACCUGGCCGUUCCGGGAGGCGGUCAGGGCGGCGUGGGACGUGGUGAAAACCGGUGGCGCAGGGGGGUCGGCUGUGGAUGCCGUCGUCGCCGGCUGCUCCGCCUGCGAGGAGCUCCGCUGCGAUGGCACAGUUGGUCCAGGUGGAAGUCCAGAUGAGGAUGGUGAAACUACCUUAGAUGCUCUUAUCAUGAAUGGGGUAAAAGCUACUUUAACCACUCAAGCUACAGUAUAUGCUGAUGUUUAUGUUACGACAUUUAUGGUGGAUGUAAUAGAGCAUUCUUUUUGCUUAAGAAAACUGGCAGAAAACAAUGGAAAUUGGAGCUGUGGCUGCCAUGAGAUAUGUGAAGGAUGCAAUUAUGGCAGCAAAGUUGGUCAUGGAGCACACCGGGCAUACUCUUCUUGUUGGAGAGAAGGCGACAUCCUUUGCGAUUUCAAUGGGUCUUGCAGGACCAACUAACCUGAGUUCACCAGAGUCAAUUGAGAAAUGGUCAAAUUGGAGACAGAAUAAUUGCCAACCUAACUUUUGGAAAAAUGUUGCUCCUGCUGGCAACUGUGGUCCAUACCAUCCUAUAAAUAUACCUAAGGACCCUGUUAAAAGUGCUGUAUGGGAGAAUCAAGGAAUCACUUGUCAGGAAUGGCUCGAAAAUGAUAAUUUACUAGAACCGACAAACUCCCAUUUCAACUCUGUUAAUCGCCACAACCAUGACACAAUCUCUAUGGCCGUCAUUGACAAGAUGGGUCAUGUAGCAGUUGGCACAUCAACUAAUGGUGCUACGUUCAAAAUUCCAGGAAGGUAAGCAUCUUGCCUCUGUUAGGAAAUUUGAAAUAUUGACAUUACAAUUUAGUUGGCCACCUGUUUUUUGCUAAAUCAAUGAUCUGUCUAUUGAAUGCAUCUGCAAUAAUGUAUGAACGACUGCAGUAAUUUUUUUUUGAGGGAAACGACUGCAGUAUUUAGUUGGCCUUGUAUCUUCUAUAUUCAAACUUCUGUCUGAGGGAUAAUAUCAGCCAUAGAACUCACCACUGCCGAAUCCUCUUGUAGUAUUGAUGCUAUGCACUGGUAUAUUUGCAAAGUCACUAAUGUGUGGUGAGUCUUGAUGAUACUUUCUUUAUGGCUGGAUAAAGCUAACAAAAUAGAUGGUGCAUAGUUAGAGGUUACAUAACCUCAUUAAUAGUGGGAUUAAUAUGUCUCAGUAUAUAGGUUUACAAUAUUUAUCCUAACUGGAUUAUGACAGACAUAUUUUUGGUUUGUUCAACUUAUAUUUACGUAGGACAGGAAUACUACUUGAAGCUUCCUUUUGAUAUGUAUAUCAACUUCUGAAAUACUCUGGUAUUGUAUAUCGACUUCUGAAAUACUCUGGUAUUGUAUAUCAACUUCUGAAAUACUCUGUAUAUUUGACAACAUAAUGACAUUGGUGUCAUGCCACAGUUUUCCCUUUUCCGAUGUUGUGGAAGUGGAACAGCUAUUUACCUCUUGAUAGGUAGUACUGACUAAUCAUUUGCUUCCAGGGUAGGUGAUGGACCAAUACCAGGAUCUUCUGCAUAUGGUGAUGAUGAAGUUGGGGCUUGUGGAGCUACUGGUGACGGUGAUAUUAUGAUGCGCUUCCUUCCAUGUUAUCAAGUAGUAGAGAGCAUGCGACUUGGAAUGGAGCCUCGAGAUGCUGCUGUGGAUGCUAUAUCAAGAAUUGCUCGUAAGUACCCAGAUUUUGUUGGUGCUGUAUUUGCGCUUAACAAGAAAGGAGUGCACGCCGGGGCGUGCCAUGGUUGGACCUUUCAGUAUUCUGUCAGGAAUUCCAGCAUGCUGGAUGUGGAGGUCAUCACAGUAACACCUUAACAUAGGCAGAUCCUUAUUAAAACAAAAGGCUGAUUCGCCAAUAAGGUGUAUUCCUUUAUGCCAAGUUCUCUCCAUUCACUCCCAUGGUAAUGCAACAAUAUUAUGUUGGGCUUGUUCCCUGAGUCAUCUAUUGGACUGCAAUUUUCUAUUGAAACUGCCAUGUUAUAUAGGUAGUAGAUUCAUUGAAUGCAUUGUAGACUUCUUGAGAAAAGGCUGGAAUUGCACAUAGUCAACUUUUGUCUUGCAACUACGAGUUUAAUGUACUAGCCAGGUGUGCUUCUUUAAGUCAUCCUCAGAGGUUUUGUGUGGAAUAGGUCAUCUUCAGAGUUGGUAAGGGCAUAUAAUAUUUCACGUACGCUUUGUCAGCUUUGAAGAUUCCCAGAGAACCUCCUCCUUCGUUGUUGUUUUUGCGUUUGGUUUAUUUUCGCACGUUUUCUCCUUUGAUCAACCUAAGUUUGUUGGCAGUAUCAAGUUGACACCCAUUUCUUAUUCCUCUAUGUUAUGUUGUCUUGUUGUUAAUUUUAUCAAUCAUUGUGUCUUACAUAUUUAUCGACAUAAUGCAAGGUUGUCAGCAUUGUCAAUUAAGCGAGAAAAAAGGUAUCUUGAUGACGGUUGUAUUAGGCAGCAAAGAUUGUUAUUUAUUCUCUGAAUAUGCACUCACCUUGUUUUUGGCUUGAAGACCUCGGGUUAUUGCGAUCAUGUUUGCAGGAGAUGAAUGCGUGUUGCUUAGAGAAGUCGGGUUGCGAUCAUGUUUGUACGAAAUGAAUGUGUACAACCCACCAGGACUGGAAAGAAACUUGGAUAAUAA